Molecule: non-coding RNA, 11035 nt
Organism: Rattus norvegicus (Norway rat)
Lineage: Eukaryota; Metazoa; Chordata; Mammalia; Rodentia; Muridae
Source: RefSeq, a predicted model, not a curated record
UUUUAUUUUUAUAGCUUUUUGUUAUGUGUUCUGGGAGGAUAAAAGGGCAAAUAUCCCCAUGGCUUUGAAGGAAAAUACAGUGAGCUGGAGGGAAUGAAAAAGAGAGUUGGAAUUCAGGAGGACAAAAAAGUGUACUCCACAUUUCCAUAGUGAAUCCAAACCAACCUUUGGUUAACAACACAGUUAUUUUCUUUGAUUAUUCUUUAGUUUUCACUUUUAUAAUGUUGUAGAGAGAAUAUCUUGAGUAUUGAAUGGAUGCAUCACCUGUCAUUUAAAAAACAUAUGGCCUAUCGGAAAGGGUAAACUGGAAGGUGGGACAUCCGGGAGACAGAAAGAAUUAUGGGAUAGAGCCCGGCACAGAGAUUGGCCCGGAAGAUGUGAGAAAUCAGACGUAGGGCACCUAAGCACUGGAAACCAGCUACAUGGCAGAAUAAGUGGGAGUGUGGAGAGCUGUUGGAAUUUGAAAGCUGAAGACAGAGGAAGAGUAGUAUUUCUGUCGUCACUGGGAUACCCUGAUUUGCUGAGAGCACGAUUUCAUUUCCAAACUCCGGCUGCUGAAACAGGAAUUUCACUGCAUAAACACAGAAGCCAUUGAGGUCUUAUUAGAGGCCGUUGAGUGAGGAGACUUUUGGAAGGGAUACAAACAUUAGUCCCUUAUUUUCUGCCUCCUGUUGAAGAUUUUCACAGCAGGGUGACUGGAAUCUAUGAAGGCAACUUUGUGAGUUAAGGGCUAAAGACCAUGUGGACAACAGGGUACAGCCAUGGAAAACCUUAAAAGCUGAUCUCAGGAAUGCCUGUGAGAAUCUGGACUGCCAACCGUGAUAUACAAACAUUCUGCUUGGAAACAGAGAGGUGCUUCCCUGUAUCUUUACUAGAAGGACUCUGUGGAACACUCACGACCCAUUCCUAUACAGAUAGCAGCUGGAUCAUGUGCCUCUCUAUAGCAAAUGGACAAAAAGGGGAGGCAGAGAUGACUCUUUGUAAGGCAAUCAUCUCUGCUGGGUCAUGGAAGACCAGGGGCAAUUUUCAGGGAUCCCCAGAAUGACUUUCUGUCUGUGUCAAAACAGGAUCUCCAUCAACACCUGUCAUUGCCUUUCGGAGGUCUUUUAGAGUAUGAAUUGGUCUGUUCAAACUCUCAAAUGACACCUGUAGGAAGCAUUCUACUCUUAUUACAAAUCAUUUUACUGACUUCCGAUUCAACAAUUGCUUUGGGGCAGCAGUUAAUGUCCCCAAUGUAUCAGAAGGGAUUCUAGUAACUAUUCUUUAUGUAGAGAGAACUACUCUAGUUUUGUAGAAGAAACUUCCUUUAAUCUCAACAGUCUCUUAACAAUAGGUUUAGGUCAACAGAAACACGCAGGGUACGGACAUAUUUUUUUCUCUUACUGACACAAAUCACGCGCAGAUUCAUCAAGCUGUGAAAUAUAUUAAGUUCACAGGGCUUUAACAAAGGGUUAGAAAACCACAAGAACCUGCUGUGAUUCAAACUACUUUCAGAUGUCCUUUUAAUUAUAUUAAAUGAAAGUUUGGGUUGGCUUUGAUGCUUAUGGGCAAACAAGGAAAUCCAUUGAAAGAACUGCUAAAAGUACUCCCUGUUGCUGUGGUUAAUAUACUACAUUGUAUGCACACUGCCAACCAAUUUAUUCUAGUCACUUUAACAAGGAUAUGCAGCCUGACGGGCCACACAGGAUAGUAUCACGAGUCAGGCAGAGCACAAAUCAUUAGAGGGCUAAGAAAGUUGUUUGACAUGCACCACAGAGCUCUUUGUCACACAGCCAAUUAAGUGACCAAACAAGGAACUUGAAAAUACUCAUUAAUUUCUUCCUAGCAAUAUAAAUGGAACAUAGACUCCUUCUUGUCUCGUGCACCGAAGGCACCCAAGUAAAACUGGCAUAAUUCAAUUUGCACUUUGUCAAGGGUGCGAGCAGCAACUUCGGUUCACAGAGAGUCUGAGUUAGGCGCACGGGAAUGGAAAGCAUGGGUAAAAAGUCUGCAGAUAUUUUUACUAAGGUAUAGAUUUCUGGACUCUGUGUGGAAUUCUUCAUGUCCAUCAACAGUUGGGAGCGCUUUUGCGCUUGAAUUUUUAGGUCAUGGUUUUUUGAGCAGAUGCUGCAGUCUGAGCAUCAUUUCUUCUUCCUUGGGGUGAGGCUGGAGAGUUGGCGACUCAACACCUAACAGAGCAGCAUGCCUCACUUACAGAGGACUCAAGCGCUGUUCCCAGGACCCAUGUCAAGGGAGGCACAACCACCUGGGCCUUGGUAUGGCUAAAAUCUCUAUGAUAUCGCUCUUGAAGUAAAGCAGGACUAUAGACUUUAGGGAGAACAUAUUACCCCUGAGACUUGAGGAGCAGUAGCAAAAGGGUAAAAGGUGUAUUUAUUAACUAAGAAAAUGUUUCAAUCUAAAGCAGGAAGAAAGAACACCAGUAAUUCUUAAUAGUUCUUUCUGAAGAAAAGAACAAUGUUGCUAACAAAUAUUACAAACUGAAGGGUAGAAUUUUAAAGUUGAAAAGAUGAACGACAUUAUGUGUACAUGUAUAACACAUGAGUACACUGGCUCCUAAGCAGUUUGUUUGUAUGUAUAUAUUUAUAUCCUACUUCCCAAUUCUUAUUAAAAUCACACCCAUCUGAUUGGAAGCAUAUGGUCUUUUGAUGGUUCAUGGAUUCCCAAAUGUUACACCAUCUGACUCAUGACCAGAGAGUCCUGAAUCUGCUACUAAGCUUGUGUGUUCCAGCGUGUGUGUGUGUGUGUGUGUGUGUGUGUGUGUGUGUGUGUGUGUGUGUGUGUCAGGAAGAGAGCAGAGUACCCAGGUCGAGAAGUUGGGUGAUAUGGGAAACCUGACAGAUUUUGUAAAAUCCGAAAGAAACAUAAUGUAGGACAUCACUCUGGAAACUAGUCUGAUAACUCUGUCAACAGCUUUUUCUUUUCUUAAAAUUAUGUUUAUAAAUCAGGGUGUCCUUUGAAAAUCUGUUUCUUAAUAUAGCAGUACAAUGUACUGAUAACACAGCCACUGAACAUGGAUGCAUCGUGUGUGUGUGUGUGUGUGUGUGUGUGUGUGUGUGUGUGUGUGUGUGUGUGUGUGUCUGUGUCCAUGUUCCUGUACGGGAGGGAGGGAGAGAGAUAGAGGAGGGGGUAAAGAGAGAUAAUUGUUUUAGUCUGUGCCAUUUCUGGAAUAUAGUACACAAACAUCAAUAAAUAGAAGACAAAUAAAUGACAGAUCUUGCUUCCUAUCCUCUAGUAAUUAGGUAAGUCAGGUUUCAGGGCUAUAGGAAUAAGUGAACUGUACUUAAACUUUCAAAUAAGCUUCAGAUUUCCCGGUCUCUUUGGUCAUUACUGUGUGAUCUAUGGAAAUCAAUUAACACUUGGUGAGUCUCCAUUUUCACUCUGAACAUAAUGAAAUGUAAGAGUUAUAACCAAAUGUUCUUAUAAAUAUUGAAUGAUAAGUACAAAAAUUUCUUUCUUGAAUGUGAUCUUAGAAUGCACACAAGUAAGAUAGGAAAAGUUCAGUUGGAAACCAUCCUGUCCCAAGGUAAGAUAUAAAUAAUUAAUAGAGUAGCCUGCCCCACAUGUGGCCCAUACAUAUACAGCCACCAAACUAGGUAAGAUGGAUGAAGCAAAGAAGUGCAGGCCGACAGGAACCGGAUGUAGAUCUCUCCUGAGAGACACAGCCAGAAUACAGCAAAUACAUAGGCGAAUACCAUCAUUAAACCACUGAACUGAGAACGGGACCCCCGUUGAAGGAAUAAGAGAAAGAACUGGAAGAGCUUGAAGGGGCUCGAGACCCCAUAUGUACAACAAUGCCAACCAACCAGAGCUUCCAGGGACUAAGCCACUACCCAAAGACUAUACACGGACUGACCCUGGACUCCAACCUCAUAGGUAGCAAUGAAUAGCCUAGUAAGGGCACCAGUGGAAGGGGAAGCCCUUAGUCCUGCCAAGACUGAACCCCCAGUGAAUGUGAUUGUUGGGGGAGGGCAGUAAUGGGGGAAGGAUGGGGAGGGGAACACUUAUAGAGAAGGGGAGGGAGAGGGUUUAGGGGGAUGUUAGCCCGGAAACCGGGAAAGGGAAUAUUAAUCGAAUGUAAAUAAGAAAUAAUCAAGUUAAUAAAGAUGAAAAAAAAUAGAGAAUACCUGGCAUUCUGCAGAACAAUACAUACAAAGCUGGCCUAACAAAUGUUCUUUUUUAAAAUUUCACUCUGUUUUUUAUUUUAUGUUGUGAGUUUUGUCUGCAGGCAUGUCUGUGUGGCACAAGCAUGCAAUGCUUGAAUAGGUUAGAGAAAGCCUUGGAUCCCUUCAGACUGGCGUUACAGGUAGCUGUGAGCGGCCAUGCAGUGUGAGGUAUCAUACCCAGGCCCUCUGUUCUUACUCUCAGCCAUCUCUCUGGGCCGAAUGUCCUUAUUGUUAAUAACAAACCAUCGUUGUUUUCCACCAUUGUGGGGGAGCAAAAACAAAAUGCACAUCAGGAGAGCAGUUCUGAUGUUAUCAGCAUUAGUUCUGUGACCUUGGCCGGCCUUUCUAUCUCCUUUUGCCGGAGUCACAUCCCCUUAUCUCCAAGUGCCCUUCUGUUAACAGUACAUCACAAUAGUUGUCUUAUUACAUUCUUGUGGUAGCCUUGUCGCCCCUUAAAACAUUCAAAGUUCUCUUCACAAGUAAAAACAAUGUGCUACCACAGCUAUACUUUAUUAUUUUGCGACAAUAUCUCUUUAAAUGUUGCCCAAGUUGAUAUUGAAGUCAUUCCGGGACCCAAGCUAUUCUCUUACUUAAAACCCCUAAACAGCAGGCCUAUAUUACCAUGGCAGACUUCAAAAAAAUAUCAUCAUCAUACCAGGGCAAAUUAAUACUGUGAUAAAUACCAAUUUUUAUCUUUCAGCAGUUGAUAAAUAUUUAUUAUUACAAUAUAGCUCAUAGUCAAAUAAGGAAACAUGAAUUGUAUUGGACUCAUGGUUUUAAAAUGUUAGAAUGCAAAUUAUUAUAUCUGAGAAUUCAUGUGUUAUUUUAAAAGUCAUCCCUGAAUAAUAAUUUAAUUAUAUAAUAAUAAUAAAAUAUAUAAUAAUAAAUAAUAAUAUAUUAAUAAUAAUUUAAAAUUAUUCACAUACAGGUCAUUUAUAAUUGUUAAUUGGUAGACCUAGUUUUGCUGUGCUUUUGUUUUUGCAUAGAAUAAAAAGUAUGUGUGAUGACUUGGAUGAAAAUGCCCCUGUAGGCUCAUAUAGGAAGUGGCACUAUAAGGAGGUGUGGCCUGUUCGAGUAGGUGUGGCCUUGUUGGAGUAUAUAAGGCCUUGUUGGUGUAGUUGUGACUUGUUGAAGAAAUGAGUCACUGCUGAGGGGGCUUUGAGGUUUGAGGUGCUCUCUUCCUGCUGUCUGCUGAUCCAGAUGUAGAACUUUUACCUCCAGCACCAGGUCUGCCUGAAAGCUACCAUAAUGACCAUGAAGAUGGUGGACUACACUUCUAAACUGUAAUUAAGGGUUUUCUUUUAUAAGAGUUACUGGGGUCAUGGUGCUUCUUCACCGCAAUAAAACCCUAGCUAAGACACAACAAAAGAAGAAAACAUAAAGGAUGGGUUUUUAUAAUUCAUAAAAGAGACUCCUGCUCUUAAAAUAAUGAACUGAAAGAUAAAUGAAUCCAGGUAAUAAAACUUGUGCCUGAAGAAUCUUUUCAUAUGUAUAUGAGAAGGCCACACAUUGUAGGAAUGUAGAGUGAUAAACAGUCACUUCAGACUGAAUGCCAAAAGCCUUUCAAGUACACAGGGCGCCUGUCUCACAGAUGUUACCAAGAGCCAUCUGAACAUAUAAGCAAGGCACCCAUUGCAUUAAAACUCUUCUUCUCAAGUCCCUCACAGAUGUUUUCACGGCAUUUGACGGUUGAAAGUCGCAGACUAGCACUGCACAUUAACAACAUCGGAAGGAGCAUCUUGUAGUAUUGAGCAGAGCAUUUGCACCACCAAUAGCUUCUGUUUGUAUUGUCUCUCAUCAGAUAUUCAGUCAAUAGCUGAAACAUUUAUUCACAGUUAGUCAACUUUAACACCAGGAAACCAGGGGUGGAAUAAACUGUGCUAUUAAUUUUCCGUUGGAGAUUCAUGUUUGAAUGACCAUGCGUUUCAUAGAUUUAAAUACCAGAAAGCUAAUUAUCCCAAAAGCCCCAUUAAAAGGAUAGCAUAGAUUGCAACUGGAAACAAUCCUGGCAGGGCUGCAACACUCUUCCCACCUUUCUGCCAUGGAGGUCCUUCCCCUACCCAUCAUGCCAUGCGUCCCCCUAAGGAUAUUUUUCUAAAACCUUAGAAAAAUACGCCUUAACAUUUUCUUAUUCACAGAUAUUCAUCAUUUCAUAAAAUAAAUGUAAAUACAAAACCAAUCCCUGUAAUUUUCAGUGUUCAAAGUCGUUUGUAUAUUCUUUUAAAUGAUUCUCACCAAGUGCUCUUUUUUUCCCCAUUCUGAUGCCUUCAAACUCACACUGUACCUCAUAGGACAGGAAUACUAUUUAUUACUAUUCUGUUUUUAUUCUUUAAAAAAAUAAUCCAAGUUCGAAAUUGAUAAGACUAGGGGUCAUAAUAGUUUGCCCCACAAUAUGGCAUCACAGCGUUUGGGACAUCAGCAGACAUAAAAAGCUACUCACACUUUUCCCACCAAUCUUCAAGGAAGCAGGUCACAAAGGUGGGGGCGGAAAAUAAAAACCCCACGACCUUGUCCUGAAGCAAAUUGUAAGUCUUCAUUUUGAGAGACACCGGCUCAUCUCCAAAGAGAGCCACAGGCCCAGAGAUGUCAGAAAUCUGAGUGAACAUGGCUUGCUGUGUUCCCCUCAGUUUACUGAGGUUACAUCACAUCACUUUGUCCUCCUCUGGCACGCUCCUCCUCAGCUGACCCACAGUUGACCUUCUCCUCAUCAUACCCAAGCACAAAAAUUCAUCCAUGUCUCUGCCUCUCUGGGUUGUCUUUCUCAACAGUUUCCACGUUACUUAGAGUUUAUAUUUAAUAAAUUAUUCUGCCAUAUCUCAUUAUGCUGUCAAAUUUUUGCUAAAAGGUCCUUGGCCAUUAGACUAGAAAUGGGUAAGGGAAAAAAAAAUCUUUCCCCACCUUACAGAUGAAACCCUGCUGGGUAAGUCUGUAUGUCUGAAAUUUAACUGACAUAGCAAACACUUCCAAAGCACCCUUGAGUGCCUGAGAAAACAAGAACACCAUAUCCUGUCAAGGUAAGUUCUCUAUUUCCCCCACUUGACACUAACUAAAGAAAGAUAAUAGAAUUGAACCCAUCAAUAUUAUCUACUGGAUGCUAAAACCGUAGGGCAGAGACUACUUUGUAUUUCUUGUCAUAUUCUUGAGGAAAUGAUAGAUUUCUGGUGUUUUUUAAAUGGGUCAGGACAAAAUAAUGAUGGUCAAACCAAACAAAGAACUGACUGACUAAGCAGAGACAAGUGUUCACUCAUCACAGUGACUACCUAUGCUGGGCUUUUCAUCACGUGAAUGAUUCUGCCCUAAAGUCGUCUAGUUUCUUUUCACAUGAUUUUAGUUAAGUGGCUGUCUAUUGAUCCACCAACUAUCCCAGAUUUAUAUUAUCUGAAAAAUUAGGAGAUGUGAAUAUUCAGGUCAUUGGAAAAAUACAAAUGGACAAACUGAUAUCUAAUAUUUACAUCAACCAAAGCUCUUAAGAAUCUGGGGAGACAAAGCCAAAAUUUCAAUCUUAUAUGUGAUGGUGAACAAACUGUUAAGGUUUUGACUUUGUACAUCCAGUCUUCACAAACACUAACUUUCUGAGGCAAUUUUUCUCUAAACACAAAUGGAUUUGCUUAUGUAUUUGCAUUCAGAGAACGCCGAGUUACUGGCAGAGGUUUCAGAUCUCCCCAUUGUCUUUAAAAACAAAACAAAACAAAACAGAAAAUAGAAUAAAACAAAACUAAUCAGAAAUCUAAUCCCAGCACUCUGGAGGCAGAGGCAGGUGAAUCUCUGUGAGUUUGUCCCCAGCCUGAUACACAGAGUUCCAAGACAGCCAGGGCUGUUACAAAUAGAAACUCUGUCUUGGAAAAUAGAUAGAUAGGUAGGUAGGUAGGUAGAUAGAUAGAUAGAUAGAUAGAUAGAUAGAUAGAUAGAUAGAUAGAUAGAUAGAUAGAUAGAUAGAUAGUUGGAUAGAUAAUUUAAAAAAAUUUCAACCAUCCCAUACCCACACUAAACAAGGUAAAACAAAGCCAACGGAGAGAACGAGCUGGUUUGAGUAUUGUUUUCUUUCAUACUAAACAACCCGUUUCGUCUGGAAACUAACUUUCUAUAAGUGAGGCAUCUAAUCACAAUCCUGUGUGGAGUCUUGAGUACUAUUUUGGAAGAGAACUAAGAUAAUUUCAAAUAUCCUAUAUCGUUUCUUGCCCUCUACGAUUCUGACUGCUAAUUCUGAAUGAGCUGACAAUUCAGUGUAUAAAUCAAAUCUACUCAGUGACUCCGAAAGAACGGAGACUUAGGUGUUACACCAAACUCAGCCCUGACAGGGCAGUGCACAUGCCUCAGCCUGCACCUUACCUUCGCUCUAGUCUAUAUUCCUCGGCCUUUAAAGAAGGUGGAGUCACCAGCUUCCUUUUCACCACAGACACAUUCUUUCCAUUCCCACCCUGCACGCACUCUCAGAAAUUCCUUUACCUCAAUAUGGCACAUUAUCAUUUUUUUUCCUCAGACGCCCAGACACGUGAUCACCAACAGAGACAAUUCACAACUGUACACAUUUAUAAAAACACAGAAAGUACCUGGACAUAGGCUCUGCAAGAGCGCUCUCUUUUCUGAAGCUGAAUCCAUUAAGACAGCAGAUUAAACACAGAAUAGAAAAAACAAGUUAGUGACAGAAGAAAAAUAAAAAGGAAACAUCUACAUAAACACCUCAUUUUUUUUCUUUUUUGAUUUCACGACUUUCAUAGCAGAAAACGAAGGUUGUGCAGCAGUAAUACAGUGGCCAAAACCCCUUUUUUUAGACCAGCCCACCUAAACAACAGAUAGUGGAAGGCUGCCGAUAGAAAGAAACCUUUGAAUAAAUUUAGUAGACAUUAGUACAAAUCAAUAAACAUUCAUGUGAAAUGAUCCAGGUCACAUCCGGUUAGUUACUCAUUCAUGAGCCACUAGUGGGGGACAUAAGAUGUUAGGUCAAUUAUGCAAAAAGUUUGGAACUCAUUAUAUUAAAGAGAGAUUAUGGGUGGUUUUCAAGACAGCCUAGAUGAUUGACGUGUGCUCAUAUGAAGUGUUCAUUCAUACCUUCAAAAAUUCUAUUAUAAGGAAGAUAGAAAUGCCCAUUCAUUGUGACUAUUUAAGCCUAGGGGACGAAUACCAAAAGUCAGACAACUUCAGACUCACGGGGUGUGAUUCGUUUCCUGACUUGCUGCUGCUUUUAUUUCUUACAGAAUUCUGUUUGACAGUCUUGGCCAAAAUAGAAAACAUUUUAGAAACUGGUGGGGUAAGAAGCUUGAUUUAAUUUGUUUUUGUUGACACAAGUUUGUAUUCCGGCCCAAAAUAUUUUCUCCUGGUGCCCAAAUGAAGAAUCAAUCAAUAACCCUUCAUUCAUGUUGUUUAAAUGAGUGACCCAAAUUUUUAUAUAUCAGACUGUGGGGGAUUCAUCCCCCCCGCCCCGGUGUUAUUCGGUUCCCUUGGCCAUGAGCCUUGAAUUGCAAAAUAGAAUUCAGUUUUAGGGAGCAGUUGCUCUGACGCUUUUGGGGUAGUUAGCUACUAGUUACUGUACCAACUCUAAUUUGGGCUUUCUUCAGUGAGGGAGCAGUAACUCUGAUGAAGAACGCAGUCAGGGAUACAAGGCUGUCAUUCAGAUCAGUGACUCCCAUCCCGGGAAUGUAGGGCUCUGUCCCCUCCAGAAUUUCAAUGUGGGUGCAAUUGCUUUGUACCUAGUGGACUUUACAAAUCUGGUGGGCUAUUCCAGGCCCCAGGGAAAGUAGGAACCACCGGAAAUGAGAGCAAGCCAGCAAGCGCGUGAGUAACCUUUGCCCUCCCAUCUCUCUAGGCCGUCAUGCAAAUGAACAUAUGACAAACUGCAUUAUAUAAACAAUUGAAGAGAGCCAAAUGGGAAACAAAAGAGAGCAUUAAAAAGCCUUGGGAAUGGAAACUUGCCCAUUAUGUCGUUAUUUGAUAUUCAGCCUAGGCAAGCUGAUUAGCUGUAGCUAGUUAGAAUGUGACAUUAAUUUCCAGCUUUACCUGAUAGCCUCAGACAUCAACACCAUGUUUAAAAUAAGUUACGAAGUAUUGCAAUAACAAAUCAUGUUACAGAUAUGAAACAUUAAUAAAACUCAGUUCUCCCACCCCAUUAUGAUAAGAAUAGCUGGCAACCAUAUUCAUCAGCAGCAUCAAGUCAGCUAUGGCCACAUCACAUUUAAGUCACAGCAUGGCAGACCAUGUAGGUGACUGUUGAUUAUCCCAUCAGGGGCUUGGGUGUGACUCUAACAGGAGACAAGUUAAAAAGGAAACAAAGACAAAACCAAACCAAACCAAAACAAAACCCAAAAACUUUCUUGCUCAGUGUGAAAAAGAAAUCUAAUACAUUAUAUCUAAUAAACAAAGACUAAAAAUGUAUCUGAUCAUGACAGGUAAAUUAGCAGCAAGGGCUAUCUCAGUUAAAAUGUCUGGCUUUUUAAAUUUUGAACGUAUUAUAGAAAAGCAUUUCUCAGUUUAGAUGAGUGGUGACUUUUCUCCUCUAAGACAGAAUUAAAGAUAGUUAAGGACAAAUCUACAAUGUCUUUAUUUAUUUAUUUAUUUUUGAUGUUUUUAGCCAAAGGGGAAUGUUUUAAAAAUGAAUUUCUAAGAUGAACAUUACUCAAACUUUUCUUCAUUUUCAAAAUUGGAAAGACAAUGUUAAUAGUCCAAGUCAUAGAAUUCAGUUACAGCAUUUGAAACCAAGAGGUUAGUCUUCUAUUUAAUAUUUAGUUACACAUACAAAUGAUAGUCUUUAUAAAUAUGCAGUUUUUCUUUUGUGUUUUUAAUUUAUAUAAGAUAUUUGGCAAAUUAAAUGUUUAUUAAAGUAUGAAAAAUUCUAAAAUAUAUUUCUUCAAAUGCCACAUAUUUAAAUUUGCUUAUUU